UAAGGAAUAUUGGUCAAUGGACGCAAGUCUGAACCAGCCAUGCCGCGUGAAGGAUGAAGGUCCUCUGGAUUGUAAACUUCUUUUAUCUGGGACGAAAACGGGAUUUUUAUCUCAAUUGACGGUACCAGAGGAAUAAGCACCGGCUAACUCCGUGCCAGCAGCCGCGGUAAUACGGAGGGUGCGAGCGUUCUCCGGAUUUACUGGGUUUAAAGGGUGCGUAGGCGGGCAUGUAAGUCAGUGGUGAAAUACCGGAGCUUAACUUCGGAACUGCCAUUGAUACUAUAUGUCUUGAAUAUUGUGGAGGUAAGCGGAAUAUGUCAUGUAGCGGUGAAAUGCAUAGAUAUGACAUAGAACACCGAUUGCGGAGGCAGCUUGCUACGCAAAUAUUGACGCUGAGGCACGAAAGCGUGGGGAUCAAACA
Molecule: ribosomal RNA, 421 nt
Filed under: uncultured bacterium
Lineage: Bacteria
Description: bacterial SSU rRNA
Rfam family: Bacterial small subunit ribosomal RNA
Source: RNAcentral